UUUUAUUUGAGAGUUUGAUCCUGGCUCAGGAUGAACGCUGGCGGCGUGCCUAACACAUGCAAGUUGAGCGAUUUACUUCGGUAAAGAGCGGCGGACGGGUGAGUAACGCGUGGGUAACCUACCCUGUACACACGGAUAACAUACCGAAAGGUAUGCUAAUACGGGAUAAUAUAUUUGAGAGGCAUCUCUUGAAUAUCAAAGGUGAGCCAGUACAGGAUGGACCCGCGUCUGAUUAGCUAGUUGGUAAGGUAACGGCUUACCAAGGCGACGAUCAGUAGCCGACCUGAGAGGGUGAUCGGCCACAUUGGAACUGAGACACGGUCCAAACUCCUACGGGAGGCAGCAGUGUGGAAUAUUGCACAAU
This 364-nucleotide ribosomal RNA is filed under the name Clostridioides difficile. RNAcentral describes it as "bacterial SSU rRNA". It matches the Rfam family "Bacterial small subunit ribosomal RNA", at positions 1 to 372 of the family's 1533-position model. The record is from RNAcentral. Lineage: Bacteria; Bacillati; Bacillota; Clostridia; Peptostreptococcales; Peptostreptococcaceae.